Molecule: ribosomal RNA, 274 nt
Filed under: uncultured bacterium
Lineage: Bacteria
Description: partial 16S ribosomal RNA
Rfam family: Bacterial small subunit ribosomal RNA
Source: RNAcentral
AUACGGAGGGUCCAAGCGUUAUCCGGAAUCAUUGGGUUUAAAGGGUGCGCAGGCGGUUUAUUAAGUCAGUGGUGAAAUCUCGAGGCUCAACCUCGAAACUGCCAUUGAUACUGAUAAACUUGAGUUCAGUUGGAGUAGGCGGAAUGUGUAGUGUAGCGGUGAAAUGCUUAGAUAUUACACAGAACACCGAUAGCGAAGGCAGCUUACUAAACUGAUACUGACGCUGAGGCACGAAAGCGUGGGGAGCGAACAGGAUUAGAAACCCCAGUAGUCC